GGAAGGAUCAUUACCGAUGGCCGCCGUGAACGCCCCUGGCGGGAGCGACGGCCGUUACCACUACCCUACUUUACGCGUACCUUCUGUUCUCCUUCGGCGGGGCAACCCGCCGCUGGAACUACAAACAACCUUUGCAUUUAGCAUUACCUGUUCUGAUAACUUUUAAUAGUUACAACUUUCAACAAUGGAUCUCUUGGCUCUGGCAUCGAUGAAGAACGCAGCGAAAUGCGAUAAGUAGUGUGAAUUGCAGAAUUCAGUGAAUCAUCGAAUCUUUGAACGCACAUUGCGCCCCUUGGUAUUCCAUGGGGCAUGCCUGUUCGAGCGUCAUCUACACCCUCAAGCUCUGCUUGGUGUUGGAUGUCUGUCCCGCCUCGGCGCGUGGACUCGUCCCAAAGGCAUUGGCAGCGGUCUCUUGCACCUCUCGCGCAGCACAUUGCGCUUCUCGAGGCGGCGAGGUCGCGUCCAUCAAGCUCACAUACCGUCUUUGACCUCGGAUCAGGUAGGGAUACCCGCUGAACUUAAGCAUAUCAAUAAGCGGAGGAAAAGAAACCAACAGGGAUUGCCCUAGUAACGGCGAGUGAAGCGGCAACAGCUCAAAUUUGAAAUCUGGCUCCCUUGGGGGUCCGAGUUGUAAUUUGCAGAGGGUGCUUUGGCAUAGGCGGCGGUCUAAGUUCCUUGGAACAGGACAUCGCAGAGGGUGAGAAUCCCGUACGUGGGCGCCUGCCUUUGCCGUGUAAAGCCCCUUCGACGAGUCGAGUUGUUUGGGAAUGCAGCUCUAAAUGGGAGGUAAAUUUCUUCUAAAGCUAAAUACCGGCCAGAGACCGAUAGCGCACAAGUAGAGUGAUCGAAAGAUGAAAAGUACUUUGGAAAGAGAGUCAAAUAGCACGUGAAAUUGUUGAAAGGGAAGCGCUUGCAGCCAGACGUGCCCGCAGUUGCUCACCUAGGCUUUUGCCUGGGGCAUUCUUCUGCGGGCAGGCCAGCAUCAGUUUGGGCGGUCGGAUAAAGGCCUCUAUCACGUAUCUUCCUUCGGGAUGACCUUAUAGAGGAGGCGUAAUGCGACCAGCCCGGACUGAGGUCCGCGCAUCUGCUAGGAUGCUGGCGUAAUGGCUGUAAGCGGCCCGUCUUGAAACACGGACCAAGGAGUCUAACAUCUAUGCGAGUGUUUGGGUGUCAAGCCCGAGCGCGUAAUGAAAGUGAACGGAGGUGGGAACCUUUUAGGUGCACCAUCGACCGAUCCUGAUGUCUUCGGAUGGAUUUGAGUAAGAGCAUAGCUGUUGGGACCCGAAAGAUGGUGAACUAUGCUUGAAUAGGGUGAAGCCAGAGGAAACUCUGGUGGAGGCUCGCAGCGGUUCUGACGUGCAAAUCGAUCGUCAAAUUUGGGCAUAGGGGCGAAAGACUAAUCGAACCAUCUAGUAGCUGGUUCCUGC
RNAcentral lists this unclassified non-coding RNA (1427 nucleotides) under uncultured Pleosporales. Its description in RNAcentral is "sequence contains 18S rRNA gene, ITS1, 5.8S rRNA gene, ITS2, 28S rRNA gene". The stretch from base 486 to 1427 matches the Rfam family "Eukaryotic large subunit ribosomal RNA", at positions 1 to 961 of the family's 3401-position model. The record is from RNAcentral. Lineage: Eukaryota; Fungi; Ascomycota; Dothideomycetes; Pleosporales.